This 920-nucleotide long non-coding RNA is filed under the name Capra hircus (goat). RNAcentral describes it as "lncRNA (ENSCHIG00000001603.1)". The record is from RNAcentral. Lineage: Eukaryota; Metazoa; Chordata; Mammalia; Artiodactyla; Bovidae.
GCUCACGGCUCAGCCGCCUGAGACCUGCCCUCACACUGCUCAGCUCCGUUCCUCCCGGAGAAGCCCACGUGGGAAUCACAGCCAAAGGGAAGAGAAACUGCUCUUCAACAGGAGCAAGAGAGACCCGCCCAGGCUGCAGCGACAGCUUGACUGAAAGAGAGAUUCAGGUCAGUCCAGAGGGCCCCCCACCCCGAGAGUGAGGCGGCUGAGCCCGGGACAAAGCCGGUGCCAUACUGCCGGCUCCCUCCUGGGAGGGGGAGCAGGAAAGGAGGAGGGGUAAAGAGCCACUGAUGCCUGGAGCCCCCCACGGGGGACACGCAGCACCAAGAGAUGUGGCAGAAGCCUCCUGAUCCACCCCCCACACACAGGGCAAGGGACAGACCUCAGACUCAGUUCACCAGGCACAGUCUUCCAUCUGGUCCUGUGACUGUUGAAGCACAUCUGUCUCCACACCCCCGAGGCUGGGGACCUCUCAAGGGAAGAGUCGCCUCUCCUCGUGAUGUCCGUGGAACUUCUAGAGCCUGGCAUAGCACUGGCUGUAUGGCCUCCUUAGUACGUCCGCUGUUGACAAGACGGGAGAGUGAGGACAUAUGUCACCAAGACGAAGGAUCCAGUGCAAAGCUGCCUGUGGAGCCACGCUCCUCGGGAAUCUCAUGAUGAAACAUUCAUGGGCCCCUCUGCUGGCCUCUCCCGAGCAUUCUGCUCCAGGAGCUGCCGGUGUGGCGGGCUGUAUAACAGUGGCCCUGACUGCAGGCACUAGAGUCUGACACUACGAACAAGGACCAGGGGUACUCGCACCUGCCGUUUGUAAGAGGCCCCAAGAUGGGCAGCCUCGUGCAGCCCAGGCAUCAGCGAAGGUGCCGCAGGACCCAGAGAGGGGUGACUGCGAGUGGCAGUGCCCGCUGCGGGCCAGGUGCUGC